RNAcentral lists this unclassified non-coding RNA (461 nucleotides) under Hevea brasiliensis (rubber tree). Lineage: Eukaryota; Viridiplantae; Streptophyta; Magnoliopsida; Malpighiales; Euphorbiaceae. The record is from RNAcentral.
GCACUAACACAUUAAAAAAAAUACAGCCCCAAGAUAUCAGAAUGAAAGAGUAGAAUAAAUAUUAAAAAAAAGGGGGGAAUUGCAAAUGUUCUUCAGCAUGAAUCAAGAAACUCCAUUAAUUCUCGCAGCCUAUCAACACAAAUGAAGAUGCAUCAUCUCAUUUACAUCCCCACCCCUUCCAGUAAAUUAUUUUCUCCAAACAAAACAAACAAAGAUCCAGUUAUAACUUGCUGCUUAACUUUAUAAUUCUAUCGAGCAAAGAUCCAUUUAUAACUUGCACUUCUUUCCAAUAAUGUUUGCAGAAAAUCAUUUUAUCUAGACAGAGACCUAAAAUAUUGUGGACAGACUCAAAAGAUCUAUAAUUUUUUAAUAUUGAUGGGAAUUGGUCUCAAACAGAGCUAACUUGUGAAAAAAGGAUUCAUAUAGCAAAUCUCAACUAGUUUGGGACUAAGGCUUUGUUG